CAGCCAGGCAAGGGAGGGGAUUGUCCUGCUCUGCUCUGGGGCAGCCUCACCUCCAGAACUGCUGGGGGCAGUUCUGGGUGCCACAAUGGGUACAACAAGGAGUUAAAAAAAAACCCACCUAAAAUACCUUGAACUCAAUUCCAAAGAAAAGACUGGAACAUAUAAUCAAGCCUAUAUUCAAGCAAUGCACAGACAGUGAAGAUGAAUAUUUAACCUGUCAAGAGUGACAGCUGUUCCCUAGUCCAUGCAAGUCUGCUGCUCUCUGGAUACCUGAAAAACAUGGAAGGGAUUUGGCAUUGCAGAGAUCUGCUGCAUCUUUGGGUGAAAAAGGCCAUGUUAUCAACUUGCCAUUUAGACCACUUUUAUUUCAACUCAUGGUAUGGCAAAACAUUCCAAAAAGAUUUAAAAAAAACCAAAAGGACACCAUAUGUUAGAAGUACAAAAGUACAAAUUAUGUAAAGUGACAGAAUGAUGACAGGCAGAGAAAAAGAAGGGGCAAGAAAAGAAGCGCUUGGCAACCAGACUUCCCUAGGACAUUGAUAUCCCUUAGCUAGACAAGUGACCUCCAGCAUGGCUAAGACAUCAUCACAUCCACCUUAAUAUCCAAGUCUGCUGUCCUGGCACAGACAUUUCUCUUCUCGUGGAGCACCUUAGUUCUUACAGUCAUCUUCCUGGAAUCUUACACACAUGGAAAAUCUUUCUUCAAGAGCCUUACAAUGUGAUCACUUGCUGGCUGUCCUGAUGUCAGUCACUAUCCUUCCCCACAUCAUCACCCCACUCCACUCAUGCUUAGUUCUCCCUUCUUUCCCCUCCCAAGCUGCUGUUUAUUUUUGCUAUUACAGUAGCAAACUGAGUGAGCUCACAAACAGAUUAAGCAAGCACUACAUGCUGCAGGAAUAUGUAGAGAUAGUCCCUUUUGGCAGCAAGCUACUAAAGCAGUUCAGCAUGACUCAAUUUCAUACUCACCCUAUUGUUUCCUUACCUAAGGGACAAUGUAUGAUUAUUCUUAAUACAAACAGGCACUUUCACUUCUGCAUAUAUAUUUUUGUAUUUCACUAAUUAAAAAUUGAUUCAAGAUUGAGAAUUCCGUCUGUUUUUUAUAACUGUCACUUCUGAGAAUUCUGUAUAAAUACAACAUAACUGACACUAAACUUUAUUUGCUACACCAAACUACACAUUUUAUUACAGAAGUGUCCACAUUAUGAAAAUCAUGCUUCGCAUUCCUAUCUCUGGGGCAAGAUGAGACAUAAUGGAAGUUAUUUUAAUACUUUGGCACAACCAUUCCCACCCUAGGAACUUUUAAAAAUUAAACUUCAUUGGUGUGGAAGAGCAUUUUUCAUAACUAAGAACUAACCACAUGAACACAUAAUAUGCAAACAAUAUGACUCAUUACUUGCUCUUGGAAGAGAAUAACUCUACAGCAAAGAACUAGAAGUGCUUUAAGGAUAGUUAAAAACUGGCUGUAGCUUGCUGGAACUGGGCAACUUCGGAGAGAAUAUGACAAACUCCUGAGUGGAGCACAUUAGAGAGUUUUAUUUUUUCCUUCAUACUGAUGACUGCCACUGUAGGUGACUGUAGAGCAGGAUCCUCUUGAGCACAGCAGGAACAAGAGCAGCAAGCUGAAUGCAUUCCAGUAUGGAGAACAGCUCUUAUCCAUGCAAUUUAACACUCAAGGCCAAACGUAAAGUUUUAUAACUGCAAUGUUAUAAAACUCACAUAGGAGCACUACAGAUUUAGGAGUACUGGCAUAUUUCAAAAAAUAAUGAUGCUGUAUGAGCUGUGAUGAAAUGUAAGGGAAAUUAAAAAAGUACAUCUGUCAAAUAGCACCAUAAUCUUUGCAGUUUAAGAGCUCAGGAUCUGCAAAAGACUCAUCAGGAAUGGUUUUGGAAAGAGUCCAAAUAAUAUACAGAAAGCAACAAUAGGGCACAAGGUACAGCCAGAACAUAUAGUUUAUUUUAUCCAUGAGAGGAUCAUGACUUAGGAGAAUUCAACCAGAUUAUUUAAAUGGAGCUCCAACACUACUUGAGGAUAAAUUUUGCAAUGUUAUUACAUGAAAUGAGUGGAUUUCUCAAGUCACUUAAAAUCAUUUGCCCACAGGACUGGAGUCCUAAAAAAGUAUUUUAAAAUAUAGGCUGAAAAACAAAUGGAAAAUCUCAUAUAGAAAAGCUUAAAAAAAAUGUUAUUGGAGAACAAUGAGUUAAGUCCUAUAUUUAAUUUAAAUGGAACAGGUACAUCUAAAUAAGGCCAAUCAGAAACACAUGGAAUAACAUUAAAAAUAACACUACCAGAAGUAAUAUUCUACAUUAUUUUAUGAGAAGAGCUCUUCCAUUCAAAACAUCCCCAUUGUAUCAGACAGCUCAGAGUUGCUGCAACAAAGAUUUUUUCAGGCACUAGCCUAAAACAGGACACUAAUAUGAAAACAUUUCUAUUUCAGUACAUUCCUUAAGACAGAAAUUCACAUGCAUGAAGAGCAGCCCUUCUCCACAUUAUUCAUCCAGCCCAAUGAUAGAUUUGCCAAAUCUGAAUGACGUACUUAUCACCGUGUCUUUGGCAUGGGACCUGGGAGCCUCACUGGGAACUGUGAACACACAUCCAGCAAGCCUGUCAAAACAGGGCCUGUUCACACACUGCUAAGAGGAUGAGACAGAACCAUCCUCACAUGAUUCCUACCGUGGCACCGGAAAUCUGGGGAAAGGCAUCAAAACAGCUCCUUGCUCCACUGUAGGAGGAUGCCAGC
Molecule: long non-coding RNA, 2737 nt
Organism: Passer domesticus (house sparrow)
Lineage: Eukaryota; Metazoa; Chordata; Aves; Passeriformes; Passeridae
Exons: 3
Source: RefSeq, a predicted model, not a curated record